CCACGUUUAUCAAGUUCCUCCAGUUUGGGCGUUUGCUGUGACACUCGGCUGAAUUUGCAUAACCGUGAGGGGUUGCUAUUUGUUUUACAUUUCGUGUGCUUUUAUCUCUCCAUCUAAAGUCCUGAGCUUUAACAUCAGCCCCCUUGGCUUAUGUUAGAAGUUAUCUGACAAGACCAAGGGUCCUUUUUAACUUCUCUGUAUGGAUGUCAUCUACUGGCCGUUAGCACUGGCAGAAUUCUUAGCAUGAAAAUAUUAUUAUUACUUCUGUAUCAGCAGAGAUGUGUGUGGCACUCUGAAGAAUCUGCCAAGAUGAAGUCUGUGCUUCUGCAAGCUCACAGUCUGCCGUCCUGAUCCUGUAACUUACCCUGCAUGGUCCCUUCCUCAUGGAAACCUAAGCAAUCAAGAUCAGGACUUUGGGACAGUGACACAUGGAGGGAUCAGGUAAGGUUUAGGAUAGUCUGAUUGGUUUGGUAGUUAUUGGGUGGGUGUUUUGUUGGUCUGAAUUCUGUACAAAGCUCUAAAACUUGCUCCUUUUCUACAUCACAUUAUUUUUAGACUGGUUGAGUAAAAGUAGGAAAAAUCAGACCUCAGCCAACUGUAGACCUGCUUGUAAAUAAUGAAACCUACUGAAACACCAAAGGAUUAGACACUCUUUAUGGCUGAAAAGAUCUGAAGCACAACCCCCCUCAAACUGCAAUAAAGUAACACGGACUGUCAGCACUGGCUUAAUUAUUCUGCUGGCAUUCCUGCAAUUCGUAAGCAGCUUCUGCAUUGCAAAUGUAAGCAGCAAUCUUUCAAAAAAUUUGGCUAGCUGUUUGGUAGCAACUUCAAAAGGAACUGUGACUGUGUUGUCAAAAGCUUCUAAUCAGUCUAUGCCAUAGUGUCUUAAAUUUGGCGACCCCAUCAUGCAAAAAGGAAAGCUGGGACAUAGGUAUUAAGCAAACAUAAAUAAAGCAAACAGAUCAGAAAGCAGUGCAGUGAGCCAACGUCCAUCUUAUAUGUUGGAUCACAAAACUGAAAAUGCGUGAGGACCUGAUGAAAUGUUUGAAAACUGGAGAGGUACUUACUGUGAGAAAGUUGUAGCCCAAUCUUGGCCAGCUGACCCAUCCUUAAAAAUAGAGCGGCCUUCUUAAAACUUACUUCUGGCACUCAAAGGCCUCAUGGUUAGAGCAGGUGUUAUCUGUUGACCAGGAUGGCUGUAUCCUCCUUUUUCUGCUUUUGAGAUGGUACCUGGGAAGGACAGAAAUAUAUGCCUGAAAGGAGCUGGCUGUGUGCUACGCGCAGGUUGGAUAUCAGGCUGGUGUGACCUGCCACCUUCACGAACCAACGGGCUGUUUGGUUCUUAGUGAGAGCUUGGACUAAGCACUUCAGUACCUUGGCUUCUCUGGGCGACCAUGGAAGUAAGUGCUGACAAUUUAAAUUGGUUUUCUAGAGCACACAGAUGCCCUAGGAUGGAAUUUAUUGAUACUAGGGCAGUAUUCUUCCCAUGCUUUUUGUCGUAAAAUGCGAAGCAGAGAAAACAACUGACUUCUGUGUAGAAUCCCUCCCUUCCUUUUUGGUUGUUUCCAGAAUGGUGUUUGUUAUGAGACUCUGCCAAGUCUCAGAGGAGAGAAUGCUGGGCUGCCCUCAGAAGCUUCCAGCAGGCCUGGUAAUAUCUGUCGUCAUGCUGUAGAUCUUUUCCUAGUCAAUGUCUCCUACCUUGGGCAGCAUGUUUUCGAUAAAAGCAGGUGUCUCCCUGAUUUUAAAUAAAAGUUUUAAGAAAAUGGAUUGCAGUCUCACAACCAGCAGUGGCUCAGGCUCAGCUUCCUUCAUGACCUCACCUUUACUGUUCAAAUUCUGUUUACUGUUCAAAUUCUGCCUCCCCAACUUCUGGUUAUGUUCCAGAUCUUGCAUGCUUGAUCUCAGGGGGUGACAACACAACCUCUGCUGUUGAUUGAUUCAGGAGGGACUUUGUAAAUACUCUACAAAGUAUUCAUAGGUCGUUGUAGCAUUCGUAGUCAUCAAAGUAUUCCUAUAGGUUCUCCCUCUGGGCUUUUGAGGAAGGGCUGCUAUAAGACUGAUUUACUGGAGCAGCAUGCAUUAUAUUUGUUUUGGGGAACUUAAUUGCAUUUUCCUUUCUUCGCAAAGAAGGUUAUUUUUGCUACUAUCACAGAAUAUCACCUUCAUUAAUAUGGCUAUUUAGGGCAUAAACAGAACAGCUGUGCUCCUGGGAAGCCUCACAGGAUCCAGGGACCAAAGACACGGAGCUAAUGAUUAGCUAGACAUACCAUUCCUUGCGCCAGGGCCAAAUGCAAUCUUCUGCUAAUCACCUUUCAUCUCAUUUAAGGUGCGAUAGCGGUCAUAUAUUUCCAGUGGGAAGUGCAAGAGCAGAAAGCACUUUGCCAAAAGGCAGAGUUCUGUGGGCGGUCUUGGAUUCCUGAUGCAAGGCUUCUUCCAUUGCUUCCCAAAAUGAUGGUCUCUUCUGGUAGAGUUCAGGCACUAGGACCGGUUUUGCUUCCUAGAUAAGCAGGGUUCUGCUGUGGCCAGAACUUUCCAGCUUCACAUCUCUCAGUGAACAUCAGAAUUCACAUGGACCAAGCUGCUUUUUCUUUUCAACUUGCCACGUGAAGGUCACACAAAAUAAUCAAUUUGCUGUCCUUUGCUGGGUGUCCUCCAAAGGUUGAGUGCCUUUCUUUUGCUCUUUGAGGGACUUUGUAUUUCGGCUUUUCUUUUUUCAGUGUUGAAAGGCUAACAUUUGUGUUCUUUUCAGAAUAAAAAGGAAAUGUGUCAUCAGCGAGGCACUUAAUGGAGUUAAAAUGUAGGGGCUAGCGUCAGAGCACGUGGUACUGAGGUAUUUGGUCCGAUGCGGUUGGGUAUAAGGCAUCAGCUCUAGAUUCGUGCCCGUCACCUUGGAACAAGGUAGUUCCUGCCAACCCGUUGUCUUGCUGCAGACAUCCAUACGACAAUCAGAGAACGUGAUGAGGCUGCUGUAGCUCUGUGUGUGGCAGCAAUGGGCAACGUGAAUCUGCAGGCCUUGGUGUAAACACCAGCUUUUCACAGCAAAGCCAAGUUGGUCUUAAACUUCCUUUUGGGGGCAUUUUUCCCUUUUCGCCUUGCCUUCCUACACCUACAUUUUAUAGACCAAGCAGUUUUGCAGUUGUCAAGCUCGGCUGUAAAACGCUGAAAGGAAACUCGGCCCCAUUUUCACAUAGGUGCCUGCUGCGCACACAGGCUCAGGGGAGGAGAGCUGUGGAAGCUUGCAGAGCCCCAGGUAUUCGGGCUUGCCAGAGCCUGUGCCGCUAGAUGGCAAUGUGGUACUCUCGGAGCUGGGACUCCCUGUCCCUGUAAAAUUCUUGCUUUUUCUGUAUUUAUCUCUGCCAAACUGAUGAUUGCACCCACCACCCCGGCAAGAGAACAGAACAAAAUCAUGUCAUAGAACAUUACAGCUGUUGUGCCUCUUUCUUUUCUUUCUUUUUGCCUUUUUUUCCCCCUUAGUUCUUUGUCCCACAGCAGGGUGCAGAGGUUUAAAAACCUUCUUUCUUAAUCGCUCGCCUUCUAAAAACAGAGAAAACACAGCCUCUUGGGAGCAAUUAGCUGUGAGAAAAGCAUUUCUCAAACAAUUGCCAGGAAAUAUUGUCUUGACCGAUAUUCCUGAUGUAACACUGUCGUUCUCAGUACUGUUUUUCUAAGAUACUCGACUGCAAAAACAGCAGGGUACGGAUCUGUAAUAUAUGAUCUGCAGUUUAUCACCUACCUUACCUUUUUUAUAUCCAUUUACUUUCAGUGUUUGUCCUCCCUGCAGCCCCCCCCCCCUUCCCUGGAGCUAUUCUGCUUAGGAGAGUGAAUAAUUAUUUGUAACUCUCCUCUGCUGACUGGUGUAUCAGGCCAAGGCUCUGACAAGACACGGCUGAAAAUUAAGGUUAUGCCUCCGCUGUGCAGGCUCCAGAUUGAAAUUCUGUGGCAGUGUGCUGUGGAGGAGGUCAGGCUGCAUGAUUACAGUGAUCCCUCUUGGACUCAAAACCUGGCAGCCUCGGUGUACGUGAGGUUGGUGAAGCCUGAAUUUCAGCGGGAGCAGCUUGAGAGCAGGUAUACGUGAAGCAGGCGGCAGCUGUACACCGAAACCAGGGUCCUGAGCCUGGAGGGCCUCUCCCCAUCACUGUAUUCAUGGAAGAUGGACUGGGCUGCAGGGUGCAAAGAGGUCUGAGGAACAGUGGUAAACUUCUAGCAGUGAAAGCCCAAAUCAGCAGCAGCUAGGAACCACUGCUAGCUAGGUAGGUAGAUAUGCAUACACCCAUGCCCAUUCACAUGCACAGCCAUACUUGUUCUUAUUGCAAGGCUCAAAUUUCGUCCCUCUUUACGUAAAUUCGUGGAGAUUUGAGAAACGAGCCUCACUCUGUGGGACAGGGUGUGAACUGAAGCACCUUCUGGAAGACAGACAGCAGUGUAAUCCUUUCAUUCAACCCUGUCUGCAGCUGCUUUUUAUAAACUUGGCAUAAAUACGUACUCAGUGAGGCCAGGCCUGUGUAGCUGGAAAAUAUUUUCCACCGUCCAAAAAAACAGAAGAUUGGAAAAAGAGCCCAGAAAUUGUGCAUAACAUGGAAUGGCUUCGCUUGUGGUUUUUUUCCAUGACUUCCUCAGCUCAUUUUUCUGCUGCCAAUUUUAGAAGCCCAUAAGUCAUACUUGUUAAACUUUCUCAGUUAAAAUGUAACUCGAAGAACAAAGUCAUAUGAUAUGUUGAAGCCAAAUAAUCGUUGCGGAGCCUCUGACUUGAGAACAGCUACCCCGACUUGGCCAGCUUGCAGUCCUGCAGGGGCUCCUGCCCCAGGGCAGGCAGGGCCAGGGGCAGGUGAGCAGCGUGAGGCAUGACUGUGUGUCCCCUCCCAGACCAAGACCUCAGCAAGGAUUUCUCCCUACUUUCGCUAGGAUAAUCAGGCCUGUGGUGUAUUAUGUUGCAGAGCAGUUGUUUUGGAAGGGGAGAAGUUUCAGCUCCUCCUCUAGAAGCACUUUAAAUAGGAGGUGAAGCAGAAAAGGGAACGAGAGGAGGCAGCACAGAGACCAGCGGGGUCCAGCAGUUGAGAAGCUGAUGUAGGUAGGAGCUGUUGCCAUCAGGGUAAACUAGCUGAGGAGUGAGGAGAGAGAGAGAAUGCCAAGAGAGAGAGUGAAUUUGCUGGAGGGUUUGAAGAAAGGGCAUCCGCACUUCAGUGCAUUUUUAAGUGUUGAAUCAAUAUGGAAGUACUCGUGUGCCAGGAGCAAUAUUUUUUUUUCAUUUGCCAAUUUUGCUCUCUUAUAAGGUGAUUGUGCUCACACCCGAGCCCUGAAUGGUUGUCCUAAAGCACCAUCUCUUUGUUCAAAUUCUGCUCUGCUCCCUCCCACAGGACAAGUCCCAGGUCACCGCUGUGGAGGGGAGUUGCCCUAAAUUUACAUUUGGGCAAUAGCCGAGGGUGGAAUUUGGCUGUGGGCUCUGCCAGCGGCGCUGCUCCAGUCAGCCUUGUCUGAGGCAGCGCGCGCAUCCCUGGUGCUGUCAGUCCCAGCCUGCGCCUCUGGGACCCGGUGCCUCAGGAAGGCAGAGAACACCGGUCUGAGCUGCCUGCGGGGAGCACGGCAGGGGGAAGAGGUCAGCAGGGGCUUUGUAAUCACUGGGAAGGAGCCUUCCAGCCCUGCCUCCUGGUUGUGCUGGAAAGGAGCAGCACAGAUACUUGCUCUCUGCAAAAAAAUAAAAGUGUGUCUGUGUUUCUUUCCCCUAAAUAGCAGCUUGUGAGUUUGGUUCUGGCCCUCGCUGUAAACUGGGAAAUGGCACCAAAAGCCCGCCUUUCGAUGGCAGGGUGAAAUGCCCUUUCAACAUCCGUGUGGUCUCCACGGGAAGGGAGGAACUGAACAAACCCACUGGAAAUCAGCAAGGGUGUUGUAAUGUUUUUUUGGAAAGCCAGUUUCAAAACCCGGUGGCUGCCUCGCUCUCUUCUGGCAGACGCUUCCUGUGCCAUGACAUCCAGGGAGGUGGUGGUGACUGAUGUAACCGCGGUGGCCGGGCAGAGUCACUUGCCCAAUGUGCUGAGGCUGGCAGGUGGCCAGAGAAAUGUGCUAAGGCCUUGUUUUCUCACAAUGGGCUCGCUGUCCCUGUGCACAUACCUAUAACUGGGUCAGGUGCUUGGCACGGCUGCCUUCCAAGCCGAUUAAACGAGGCGGCGGAGUUACCCACGCCAGAAGAAGAGGAAGAAAAAGGAAGAAGAUUUUGCUCUUGUCCCAUGUGAAUGCAGACCUGAUGCAUCUCUAGGCACGCUUUGUUUGCAUAACAAUGCUGUAAUUAAUAAUGAUGCCUGCUCGUUGAAGCCAGUUCUCCGUGUUAAUGGUGGGAGGCGUUGAGGAGAGGGUGAGGAGAGGCCUGGUAGUGUUUUUGCUGGAUCACCACCUUUAGGUUAUUGUGACAGACUUCUGAAAGGAUCUCUUUGUAUGAACGGGAACAUAAUGCUCAGCUGGGCUCUUAAAUUCUGUCUCUGUUGAGAAGAGAGAUCCUUUCAUAUUGAUUGUCAUUCUGUAUGCAGUUCAGGCACCGACUUGCAGGAAAUCUGGGCCAGAAGAGAUAUCAUUAGGUAUUUAUGGGGGUUUGGUUGGCUCAGCAGUCAGUUUUUCCAUUGUCAUGCCGUGACAGUAGUGCAUUACAUACACCCUCAGGAGACAUCCUUCUGCUUCCACAACAAUAAAGGACUUUUUUCUUUUUCUGACUCAUCUUCAGCAUGAAAAAAAACCCACAGUAAAUAUAAUUAGCAACAGGCAGAUAUACUGUACUUAGCUCUCGGAGCCCAUUGGGAUAGCUCUUAUAAAAAUAUAUGUUCGUGGUUGCUCACCCUAUGCUUAAAUGUCCUGAAGUUUUCCUUCAGCUGCAUUCCUGGUUAUACUUAGAUGUUUUAAUGUAGCCUAGUGAGGUUGUAGGCUGAGGAACCAUUUCUAGCUUGGAUUAAGAGGAGGAAUACAUUUGAUGCCGGGAUUGUGUUUCAUGCACACACGGGAGCUUGGGCCAGACUCGCAGCGCAUGAGGCAGCACAGUGAGUGCUGUGCUGUGCUGAACCAAGGUCCGCUUAGCUGUCCGUACUGCAGAUGCUGCGGGAAGGAGGACAAAAAGCAGAGCAAGUCUGGACUGAUGCUGCCCCACAGUUCCCUCCUGGCUCCCAGCACCCACCGAGGGAUGAGGAAGGAAGCAGCCAUCGCCUCCAUCCUCCUGGUCCCCCGGUCCCUACAGCGCGGUGGCCCCUGCUUCCUUUGCUCUGUGCGGGAUGGAGAGCGGCCCCGGGUCUGCUCUGCUUCACCUCAGGUCCACGUGGUCACAGGAGGAUUUCUAGGUUAAAUGUGUCCUGGCCCCCACCAGUGUUUCCCUGAUGUAAGUGCGAUGGAGCAGGUGGCGUGCAGCUGGGCUCUGCCUUCUGCCAGGUGGGUGUUCCCUUACGCCUGCCCCGUUAGGGGCUGCCUCGCGUCCCGCCUGUGCCAUUGGGCUGCCCGAAGCCAGGAGCCGGCCUUUGGGCCCAUAUUUCACCUCAGGGUGCGGGCUGACGCCAGUCACAUGGCUGCGAGCGGGCCAGCUCCGAGAUUAGUAGGCCUCUGUUUAUUUAUUUAUUUCAACCUGUGACUAAGAUGGGGGAGUAUUUGGAUGCGAGCCGCUCCUCCCAGAAAAGUACUGUUUAUAUUUCGGUCUCCUGAGUCGAGUCAGUCGGAUCUGAAGUGCUCGCAGCCCAGCAGCGGUAUGCGGGAUCUGCUGCCAUGUCCCCGCGUAACCUGGCAUCAGCGCUGCCGGACAGAGCGUGGGCUGGCUGUUUGCUCAUCCCGAGCUUACGUGGCCACGAGUUUUCCUCCGUGUUCCCGAUUGCUGAGCUCAGAGGGGCGGAGGAGAGGGAGAGCAGGCUUCCAUCUGAAAGCAGCCAGGUGUUGCGUAGGGCCGUACCGGGGGUUACGCUGAGGAGAACGUGACCACGCGGGUGGGGUGAUGGCUCCGCAUCCACAGGCAGCAUUGCAGGGCUCACCUGCGCAGCAUGUGUGCGGCACAGUCACUGUGAGGGCUGUGUGCAAGCAAGUCAGUACCUGCUGGCAUGUGAUCUGCAGAGAUGCUUUUAGAAAUGUGUGAGGGUGGCAUGAAAACACAAGUCAGCUGAAAUAUCUUUAGCUUGUAGGGCACCUGUGGACUAAUAGACGAAAGCGAAACAGCAUACAGAAACUCCUCAAAUAUCGAGCUGCCAUUUAUUUCCACUAUCUCUAUCAAAUUUCACCUGCAUAAGCAGCUUAUUUCUUUGAGAUCUGGUAAAUUCAAGCCCCUGGCUCUAGACACACCUAAUUUCUGGGGGAAGAACAGAGACAUUUCAGUCAGCUUCUAUGGAAAAUGAUUUCCCAAAGCUAGGGUCUUGUUCCCUUUGGGGGCAAGGCACAGGGAAAGAACUAGCUGAGAGGCAUAUGGGGCCUGGGGCUUUAAAUAGCGCCUGACUAGGUUCAGGAGCUGACUGCAGAACUAAUGAGACAUGGGGAAAUAUGAGUUCAUUUUCUUGAGCUGAGGGAAAUUUGGAGAAUCCUGUUCCCAUAUGUCAUCAGUUGCUAAAACAAGUCUACUGGAAAUGUAAAAAGUCUGUCUGUCUGCCUCCACUCCUUGCCCUAUAGCAAUAUAAGUCGUACAACUUCAUCUGAGUUUUGUGAUAAAUAAAUGAGCAAUCCUGCCUCCAAAGCUCUCUGUACAUCCUUGCUCCAGGCUUGUACCACAGCAUAGGGUUGCACACUGUCAGGGAAGGAUAUUUUCUCUGCGUAGCAUGUCAUGGUAUGUUCACUGGUCACAGCAUUGCCCGUGGGGUGAAAAAUGGGCCUGGACUGCUCUCAAGCCAUCAGUCUUGCGCAUUUUCUGUCUUAGCACUCUAGUUCUGUAGUGUAAUGCCUGUACAGCUAAUGAUCAAGGUCAGGCCUGUUGGCCUUCUGCCAGCAAACUAAAACCUCAUGUUUUUCUGAGCUGAGUUUAUAAACAGGGCACGGGCUGAAACUUCUUUUAAGCUGCCAUGGCAAGGGCUAGAAAACAGGAUGCCAGCUCCAGUGCAGUACGUGCCAAGAGUGGUGCUUAUGGAGUUAUUUCUAGAGGGGAAGACCUCAACAUCCUAAAUCAUCAGUUUAGCCAUGGCUAAAACCCUCCAGAGAAAGGGGACUGUGGAAGCUUUCACUUGUGUUGGUGGUUCCUCCUGGUCAGGCCCACCAGCAGUGGGGCUGUGGGGCAAGUUUGUGUGGCGCUUGCCUGUGUUCAGUGAAUAGUCUGCAGGCUCCAAGCUGCCUGUGCCUUCCUGUUGUGAGCUUCUCAAACUAUAUUUUCGGUGGGAAGUAACUGAGCGAGAGGAAGAGCAGCUUUUGGCUUUUUCUCGGGGAAGAAAGACUCAGAUCUUGCUCAGAGCUGCUGACUGAGCCAGGUUUGAUCUUGGCAACACCAAAGAAAGAUGGGGUAUUUCCAAAGGAGGCAAAGAAACCCAUGUAAAACCAGUGUAAAUGAUACUAGGCUUGCAGGGUUCUGUUCUCUAAAUAUGAGCAAUCGUGAUCUGUACUGAGCUCCGUGGGAGGCAAAGGUAUGUCAGUCUUGGGGUGAAUGUUUUUUUUCUGCUGCUUUAGCACAAUGGGGAACCUCGGGGAAGCCUUCCUGAGUGAGCUGACUGCCUGCUUGCUGUCUGACUUACAGCCUCUGGCUCGUGCUGACGCACAGCCCAGAGUAGGCAAGUUUUCUUGAUGUGUAGGCUGGGGCUUCCAUUCGGGUAAAACAUGCAAACUAUCUUUCAGGGAGAAGGAAUGGGGUUGGGAAGAGGAAACUCUGCUCGGCUUAGUUUGCAUUACUGAAUCACGCAACUUGCUCUGCCUAGGCCCGGGCUUCCAGUAGUUUCGGAUUUCAGCUCAGCACGGCAUCAAGUUUGUGUCCUAAAGCUGCUCUAUGGUACUGAAGAGCAAUUAUUGAAACGGAUAAAAUGGCCUGAAAUAAAACAGGGAAGAAAACAGCUCCCUCAGCAGGCAGGCGACGAAUGUAGCUGUCACCCUGGCUUCAUUCGUUGUGGGCUGGGUGACAGUUUCAGCUCUGAAGUCAGUGACAUUCAAAGCCCUUCUCUGAGGGUGAAGGGAUACAGGAUGAGAUCUAAUUUGUUCCUCACAGGGCAUCACUUUCUGGCAUUCUUUUUCUUUUUGGCAAGAAACUAUGGGUAAUGUAUGUCAUUGUCAUCAAAGACACAUUGAUGUUACUGUCACAACUGUGACCUUGUAUCCAGCUAAAAGAGGUACAGCGGGUGAUGGUGAGAUGCUCAGCUUACGUCCACAGGGCAGAUUUUCCAAGCAGCAGCUCUGUUGGCAGGGCCACCUGCCAUGCUGUCUGGCCACGCCGGUGCCAAGCGAUUCUGGGAAGAUCUGGGCCGUGACGCCACAGACCAGCAGCAACGGAGGUGGAUUCCUGGAAGCCGCGGUGCAGGGCGCUGGGGGAGCACCGCUGCAGGACAGCCGGGGCUGGGAGGAGGGCUCCGACCGGUCACACCCACACAUUGCAGGGCCCUGUCCAAGCAGCAGGCAGCAACCUUACCGAACCAGUCCCAGAAAAUUGGCUGCCUUGGCCGGGAGGAAACAGCGUUAGCUGUCACAGCUUUCACUCAGAAUUAGCUAUGAGUUGGCCAGGCAUAAAUUGCUUUUGGAAUUAGUCCUGCCAGCUGCAUUACCAACAAAGCAAAAAUUGUCUCAGGAGCGAGGCUCAGGGUUCACACACUUAAACCCUACCUGUCACAAGGUUGCUAAACUCUUCCCCAGGGCUGGUACUACAAUAUUUACCGUAUUGGCAUGCUGUCUUUUCUGUUUGACUGCCGCAUGAUCGUAUUAUAACAUGUCCUGUUGACAGGACUAAACUCAGGUCAAACUGUGUAAAGAGAUAACAGUGGCCUUGAUCACUCCAUGGUGAAACCAGAGUAAAUUACUGGAUGCCGAAUGAGUUAUUUCAUGUUUAUUUCAGAUUAAAUAAGAUUAGAAUCUGGCCUUCAGAUCAUGUUAUUUCUCUAAUUCAACUGGGUCAUAUUUUUAAAUUCACGCGGUGGUCAACAUGAUCCAGUAAGUGCCAGCACACAGUCCCAGCACCUGCAAAACAUCGAAUGUAUAUAUUGGCACUUUCCGUAUUUGCUGACUGCAGGACAAAUAGGUUUCAUAUUGGGACAUCAAAGUCUGUUUCAGCAACUGGAUGCAUGACAAAGCCAUGUUAUAAUCUGGGUACUGAUUACAGCAGUGGAACACGUCGGCUCAGCACGUGGUAAAUUUGGAUGUGCAGAUAGAUAAACUUUUUAGUGGCCUAUGGCUUGAUUUCAGCAUGGAGAAGGUUGUCAGCAUAUUUGUGCUAAUUAAGGAAACAGCAUGGGAAACUUCUUUACAGUGUAGGUACAGCCAGAGCUCAGGAAAUAUCACUGCUUUUCGAUGUUUUUUAUAUUUUUUCUGUAACAGCUAGCUUGUCUUCAAGUAGAGCUGCAGCUUUGUGCCUCAGCUGCAUUUCUAAACUGCACUGAAGCUUGUUUGGGUCUUGUGUUUUCACUUGUUUCUGGGGAAUGGAUUGAACAGUUCAGUCACAAGAACAUUAGGAGAGCAACCGACAUUUUCUCUGUGUUUGGGGACAGCGGUGCAGGGCUGGAUUCUCUGGGUUGGUUGUACUUAUUUGCAAUGUUGACAGUAACUGAAUACCAACAAAUAAACCCAAGUUUGUGCUUGUGCUAGAAAUACUUUCAUACUAUUGAAAAUAAUGCUUUUGCCUAACAGUUACCUUUAUUUUCAUGCUGGUAUUGUGGAUAUGUUAUACUGCUUUUAACAUAUUCCCAUGUUCAAGUUCCUGAGAAGGCUGAAAUGUUGCCAACUAUGUUAAGUCCUUUCUGUUGCACUGAGUCAGCCGCCGUGAUUUUACCUUUGCUCUUGGUCAAAGUCUUACGCUCCAUUAUCUUUUUGUUCUUUUUCUAAACAUAAGAAAUUGCAGUACAAGUGCUUGUUCCGUGUGCUAACAUUUCCUUCUUCUCUAAUGACAAAACCAGCACAUUACUUUUAUUAUUAAUAAGACAGGAACACCUAGAAACCCUUGAUGUUUUCCCAAGGGAUUCCCAGCCGAAAUAUAAACGACAAACAAAAAUGGGAGAAGUUAAGUGCCUUUAUUUGCAUUUCUGAACAGGGAAAUGAGGUGCCCAAAAUUAAAGGGGCACUUAAUACUUCCUUAUUUAAAGGCCAUAGAAAGAAGCAUGCCCAAGAAUAGACGUGGGAUCAGUAGGUCCCUCUUCGCCAGGGGGCCCUGACCACAUUUCUGCUCACCGGCCCCAGCAGCACCCAGGCCAGCACAGCCUCGUGUCCGUGUGCCCCUCCGCCUGAGCUCAGGGCAGCAGCCCAGCUCUCUGCCAGCACCUUCACUGGGUCAGCACGCUUCUCCUGUUCCCCGUGCAAGGUGCUCCCAGGGCUGCUGGCCUCCUGCUCCUUCCUCCUUACCAAGAGGGGAAGAACUGCUGAGCUGACACCUGCUUGUGGUGGCUACCUGCACUGACCAGCGAAAGCCUCCAGAACGGCAGCUGCUGAGAAAUGACUGCCGUGUGUAGGAGCUCACGGCAGACCUUUCCCAAGUGCCAGUCCAUGGGAAGAGCCUCGCAGCUCCUACAAGUCAUAGGUGGAGCCGGUUACAACCUGACUUACCUUCCUCGGCAUUUUGAAGUCUGGUGAAACAUGAUGCAUAAUGACAUUACUCUGCUUUUGCAAGUAGGAGACUGCCUUUAUGCAGGAGUGUCUCAUCUGUGAACCUCACCUCAAUGCAUAGUGCUUAUUCAGAUAUAACCACGAGAAUGAGGCCUGGCUAAAUAACGCCUCCAACUGAAAGGAUCCACUGAAGCCCAUUAUAAUGAUCUUAAUGACUUCCAAUUCAGCUGUGCCUGUGAUACCAGAGUGCAAAGGUAAUUAUGGAAGUGCUAAAUACUAUUAUUACUUGAUAUUAGCAACAGGGUGGGGGUGAGACCUGGCAAACCCUUCCCCCACCUGGCCCAGACACGAGUGAGGGUUACCCCUUGCCUCCAGCCUCCCGAGGGCUGGGCAGGCGAGGUGGGGCCAGGCCUGGCUGUCCCGUCCAGCGGCCUGGGCUUCGCUGGUGUCAGGAGGUGGCUCCUUCGUGCUGCAGGAGCCCUGCGGCACGCGCAGCGAGCAGGGAGAAAGCAGAAGUGUCCGCAUGCCACCCUUCCGGCCUCCAUCUUGUCUGCAGAAAAAGCAAACGUGCCGUCUGUCCUUCCCCUGAUGGUUUUGCUGUUCUUUCUCUCAGUUUAUUCUGUCUGUCCUGCAGCCCUCUGGUACUACCUGGCGUUGCUGUUUUCUCCCUUCAUGCUCUCUCUUCAGCUGGGCCCCAUACCUGGACGUGCUCCUUUGGCUUGCAUGGGGUUCCCUUCUCUGCAGUGUUGGUGUUUCAGACAUUGGAUAUGUAGCGGGGCGCUCACAGCCUGGCUUGGAGUGGGGUCCCGGACCAGGUGACCUCCUCAGGUCCCUCCUGGCCUCAGUGAUUCUGUGACGGGGGUCCCCGGCUCGCUGCCGACACCGAUCUAACCUGGAGAAGCGCCAACCUUGCGACAGGCGAGCAGGUUUUGAGGAAGCAGUGAUCACUUUGCUGGUUAGUGGUUUGCUGCCUGACUCCUGCCUAGUGCCCGGCCCAGCACAUCAUCUGCGGGGCUCUCUGUGCUGCCACGUCCGUGAUGCUUCACCGCAGGCAGCGGCCCCACGGGCCCCCCGGGCUGCCGGGCAGGACGGUGAGAGCCCGUUCGGUCGGCCUGGCUGAUGCAGGCUGCAGGCAGCUCUGCUCACUGCCGUGCCCGCCUGCGCCAGGAGAAACCUGUGCGGCGAUGAUUCACCCUCAAGUGAUUGCUUGACCCAGAGGAGGGCCUGAUGAUACACCGAGGCCGGGACACACCAGCCGUGAUUACAAGAUGAUUCACUGCCAUUCAAAACAUCCUCUGUGUUGCACAGGCAGGGCCGCUCGCGGAGGCUGCAAUAAGGAAGCGAUAUUUGCACCUUUAGCUGCCACGCUCCCACCAAGCCUUUCGGCCGCUGCCUGCAGCGUGGCAUUUUCUUCCCUCUGGCUGUGUUGACACCACAAAGGUUUGCUGGCAGGGGGCGACUCCCUGAAGCUGCCAUGUGGCUGCAGCCACGUGCCUCUUGCUGGUAAUGUCUGUCCUCGCCCCAGGAAGGUUUGGCCAGAAGCGUGGUGCGCCCGGGUGUCCCGGUGUCCUCACAAUGCCAUCCCGUGCAGCGUGGCAGUGCAUCACUGGACAUUAGCACUAAACUGAGGAGCAGGUGGGAACUCCGGUCCUGCAGUUCUUCGUGUUCCAGCACAUCGUUCUUCAGAGUCUUCCUAAAUUCCUUGCACCGGUAUUCCCACUUCCACUUAUCCCCCUGUCAGAAACCUGGAGCUCUCACAGCCCCAUUGUGCUUGUGUUCCCUUUAGGGAGGGCACGUAGCUUGCUGUCUGUCUCCAUUUUUCAUGCUGCUGUCUAUACUUUCCACCUUCCCAUUCCUCCCACAUCUUUGUCCUUCACUCUUCCUCUCCUCCAGAUGUGCUCUCGGCAGAUACCUGCUCUCGUUUGGUUUCAUCAGAGUGGUCCGAGUGCACUGACUGCAUUCAUCUCGUCCUGCAAAGUGCUUCCCACACAGCACACACAGAGCAGGGAAGCCCUGGGUGCCUGGCAGGUGCCACGUCUCCUGCCCCAGGAACUGAUAGUGCUUGUGGCAGCGUGCUGCAGGCACUGGUAGGUUCUGGGAUGUGGAAAACUUGCUCACAUUGGCUGGGACUUGCAAACAUGUCGGGGCUAAUAGUGAACACGGUUUGUACUGCGCUUUCCCUCAAGCUAAGUUGAGCAACCUUAGUUAGCAAGUUGGGCAUUAUUCAGAGCUCCUAAACCUCGGGGUUGCCAGUGACAGAGUUGCAAACUUACAGCAGGACGCUCCCGACAUUUUCUGCGUAGCGUCAUGGCCAGGCUCCAGCACAGGGGAGUUGUGCUCCAUCACAUCUCAUUCCUCAGCUGUCAUGCUCUGUUGCCAGCUCUGCUAUAUGGAUAACUAGGUGAGCUAUCUCUGGAAAACAAUCUAUUCAGUGAAUUUAGCCCUUGUUUCCUGCGGGGGAACUGCCUUCAAACUGCCUUUCAGAUGUAUUUUACGUGCAGUGUUAUUAUUUGCACUUUGUCUAAACAUGUGCUAGCUGUGGAUUCUCUGUGUGCUCUUGGAUAGAGCUGUGGUUUUAAAUACCCACCGCUGGUUAUUCAUAGUGCACAUUUAGUCAUUUAACAAACAUGGUAUUAGUUCUGCUCUCUAAGCUGAUGACUAAUACUCUUAUAAAUAGGAGGAAUGUGAUCUGAAAGGUCACGUGAAUGUUCCCAGCGUGAACAUAUCCCCAAACUAUGAGGCUUCUCAUUCCAGGAGCGUGCUUGUAAAAAAAAAAAAAAAAGAAAAAGCUCAUUAUUAGGAAGAAGAAAAAGGGUUAAAACCCACUCAAGCAGUUUAUGUGCUUUAACUCAAACAGAUUUUUGCAAUGUUUGCUUUUGUCUGCAAUCUCUGCUGAUGUGCUUGGGAAGAUGGGAAUUGCCCCAGUGGAACAGUCCUGAGUUCUCUCCCGUGCCAGCGCCCUCCCUUGGAGCAUAACAGGACCUAGAUAUUUUAUAAUACAAGUAAGAAACAUCCCCUAAAUUUCUUGACGGAAAGCAGGACAACUCCUAACACUGGAUUCCAAAGCAAAUGGGAAGAGUGCACGAUGCAAGUUUCUGCACGGCUUUCCUCAACUCAGUACCGUGGAGAGAAGAAGCCACGCUGCCUAGACUGCUGCGUGAAAACAAAAUAAGCGAAUGUUGCUGCUCUCCUGCCAUUGAAUGGUGUGGUUUAUGUUCACAGAAGAGAGGAAGGGUGGACCUGUGACCAGCCUGAACGGCUGGCCUGGCCAUCAGGAAGCACAGCACCGCCUGCCCCCUGUCUAUGACUCAGAGACCCGGCAUGGAGCAUCCGAGGGGCUUCUUCCAGAAGACCAGCCCCUGAGCGGUGGUCGAUCUCGAAGGAGGAUCUCUCGCCACCCACUGCUGACCCCUGGUAAGCCCAUCUAUGGACAGAGCCCGUCUCAUGGACAGAGCCCACCUCUGCUCAUGAGGGCACCCAGAUAUACGCAAUGCAGCAGUGGAGCAGGACCAGACCCCUGUCCGUGGAAGGAGGAGGUGCAGGGGGUGGCGGUGCUGGUGCAGCACCGUGUGUGGCUCUGCUCCGAGCCCUCGUCACUGUCACCACGAGCGGCCCAGGGGAUGCAGGCCCCUCACCCCACAGCCUCUGCACUCAGCAGGGGCUGGGUUUGGGGUUCAGAGGGUGACGGGGCUGGCAGCACUCGCUGCCCCUCCGCAUUUUUCUGCAGGAAGAAGUGUUUUCCUUUCUCUCUACGCUUCAUGUGGAGCUGUGCAAACAGCACUUGCCCCUGAAUGUUGAUACCUUCAAAUGAUUGUAUCAGCCUCUUAGGGAUUUAUUCACCCAAACUGCAAUAUUUAGUUAUUUAAUCUUUCCUUUAGUGAUUCAGUUGUUGUUCUGUACUGAACACCACCCAGUUUGCCAAUAUCUCUUUGGCAUGCGAGUGCCUGCAGAGAAAGGAACCAUCUUCCCUCUGCUCUUUUGUAUGAUGCUCUUCACCUCUCUGCAAGUCAAAAUCAGGCCAUCUUAUUUUAUAAACCAGCAUCUAAUUCGCUGCCUACUCUUAUCCCUGUGCUAGGCCCUUUUCAGCAGCUGCUGCAGGUUAUUUGUCCAAAUGUGUUUCCUUGCAUUGCCCACAUUCCAGGCAGGAGCUUUUAGAUGCUGUUUUCCUUCCCAAUCCCCUAUCUCAGAAAGAUUGUUUAUGAGACUGAAAUCAUAACAAGAAACCAAAGCUCAGGCACUCUUCCCUUCCUUGUUACUAAAUCCAAAAUGAUCCUUUCGGAAAAAGCAGUGCUUUGCAGGUUGUUAUUUCUGCAGCCUGGGAAAGGAUUUCUUCUCAUUUACAGCCCCGCUGGGUACUCACGGUGCUGUGCACUCAACAGGCUGAUGGGUGCUGUGGCUGUGAGCAAAGGACGGGGCUUGGAAAUGGAGAGCAAGGUUCUGCCCAGCCCUCUGCUGUUCUGGGCACUGAUGUGCUCUGCCUCAGCUCAGGCAGGGGUUUUAAGAGCUGAGUGUUUGGAUGGGUGAAAGCUUUGGAAUGAUAUAUGCACUUUGUGUGUGCAGGUGAUACUUCAUCUUUAUAUUCCAAGUGCAUUAGGACAUGAAAGAAGCCAAUUUCAAGGUAGUCUGCAAGUGACACACAAGCCCAGGCUGCAAAACACAUGCUGCUUGAAGAGCAUUCACUAAGAUGUCCAUGCAGAUUUUAUUUUCCUUAAGAAACCUUUUGAGCUAUUUCUUUCCUGCAGGCAACAGAGGUGAAAAUCCACUGGGUUUUGGACCUAACCUCCCAGCCAGGAGAAGGCAGAGGCAAAGGGGGUUCUGCAGGCAGUUCCCAGUACCAUUGCUUUAAGCAGGGAAGUGGAAGCUGCUCCAAAGCUGUGGGAGCCAACCUGGUUUGCCUGUGGCUGCCAUGUUAAUUUUUCUCCUUUUGAGGUCUGAAUCCUUUAAAUCUUUGUUUUAUAGGGGUGAAUAAAAACUGACUACAGCCUAUGGAGAGACCUGGAAGCCAUUUGGUGCAGAAGGAUCACAGAAAUCUGAGAAUGAAUGCAAGCUUUUAAACGGAAAAUAAUGUAUACAUUUAAAGAGCAGAACAUGCACAUAUAUUCACAAUGGCUGCUAUCAAGACCUCUGGCAGUUUCUCUGAGUAUUAAAGUCCUGGUCCUGGAGAUUUCUGCUGCCCCUCAGGCUUCUGUCCCUUUCUGUGUUGUUACUUGCAGUGUUUAAGCCCCAUUAAGUUUAAGUGCAUACAUUUUCUUUGGCUAUUCAGCCCUAGCCACUUUGGGAAGAAAUUGGCCAGAAUCCCUGAACCUAAAAUAAUCAAAUGUCUGUUUUUCCAUUGAAAAGGAUCCCAUUUAUCUGGCAAGCAGUGCAAAAUGGAAUAGGUAACUCAGUGCAAACAUUCUCCGAGAAACCUGUUGUUGCAAAACGAGGCAAGUGGCUUGCACAUAAGCAGAUAAGGUACCUUUACCAAUGCCCAGGUUGUUGCACUGCAUGUCAGUGUAUGUGGUUUCAUAAUAUGUGUGACUUUUAUUAUCAGCCUCUUGGUUUCUACCACUCUCUUUAGAAAUACAGCAGCCAUGAGCUGUAGCCCAAGGAGCACAGCCUUUCAGACACUCCUUUUGCGAGUAUCUGUCAUGCUCCCAGAGAGGAUGUCUUUGUUUCAGGAUUGUUCUGGGCAUGAGAAUUAAAAAUCAAAACGGAGAUGGUGGCCAGCAUGAAGAACCAGCCAAAGUUAUUUUAAUGAAUUUCUUUCCAUACCUGCCAAUCCGCCCUCCCCUGCAGGAAAAACAACUCUCGAAUGAAUAAAGCAUAUGGCAUGGAAGAUAGAGUGCCGAUGCCAAGUUUGUCUUUGCCUUAGCAGAACUGGCUGUAAGAUGCUGAAUCUGCAGAUCUUCCCCUGGAACAUGCUCUUGGAGAGAAAAGGGGAGGCACUUUCCCACUGUCGCUUUAGCCCGGCUCCUGCGGUCUCACUGUUCAAGUCCUCACGGUGCAGGACAGCGCGGGGCAGACACAGCACUGCCUUCCAGUUGGUGGAUAUCAGCAGGCAGCAGCAGCAAAGAAAGCCCAUCAGUGAAGUGGGCUAAGUAUUUGAGAGGGACCUGAAAACCACCUGUGUGCAGGUCACUGACUGCCCGUGAUGGCUGCUGUGCCGGCAGACAGGCGUGCCUGCUGCUGUGGGGUUUGACACCCUGCUCCUGGACAUGGUUCCUUAUCCCGUUGGGUCCAUGUCUCUGGGAAUAUUGGAGGACCACUGUACUGCAGCUGCCAAGAAGUGAGGUGUUCAGCGUAAGUCCCUCCAUCAGCACUUGUCCUCCAGUCAGCCACCUCCACAGGUUGCUUCCCGAUCCUAAAGUUGGUGUGGUGGGCUGUGAGAGAUGCCCUUCUCCCUCCAGGAUAAAACCCUGGAUGCCGGCUCAGUCUGUGGCCAGCCCUCACAGGUCAGUCUAUCCGUGCACAGCGUGGCCAGCUCAGCCCCGCCGGGUGAGGCUCCUGGGGGACACAUCGGUGGUGGGUCAUGAGGUGGUGCAGCUACGUGGGACCUCGCCACCACCUGCUCAGCUCUGCUCUGAAGGAUGUAAGAUGUCGGAGGGACCUUAGUUUUGGUGCCUCACAGAGGAAUGCCUCGCCAGGGUUAGGUGACAGCUGAAGAGGAGGUUUGAGUGUCUAAAUUUAGAAGUUAGGCAGCCAAGGCCUUUAUUGGGCCUAUCUCUGCUGGGACUGAAGCUGAGCAGAUUUAUAUAGAAGGAACGGAUUCCUAGCUAAGUUACUUUAAUCUUCCAGACAGCUAUGGAAAUGUUUGUGUUGUGUACUCUACGAGGCAUGUUUCUUCUACAGACCUGGGAGAGGAGGCCACCACGCUGCUUGGACGCUUGCCAUGGGGGGACACCAUGGGUUAGGAAAGGGGUUCUGCCCCCACAGGACCUUCUGAAGCACUUUGGCCUGGCGAUGAAGUCCCCGUGUGUGAGGAAAGCCUCUUGCUGUGGUUUUGUGAAGAACACGGUGGUGGACGAGAGCCUUCCCAGUGUGGAAGGCACUUUCCGACUCCAGCACCCAGCCCUGCCCCUGCAGCUCCACGUAUUUCAGGUCCCUGCGGACCUGUGGGGCAGGUGCUGGGCUAGGGGUGAAAUGGAAGUGCAGCUGCAAGCUCCUUAAGAGACCCUCUUUCUUGCAUCUGCAUCUCCUCGGUGAUUAAUCUCAUCUUCCAUUAAAGGUGCAGCAUGCCUCUUCCAGCCAGGCCCACGAGAAAGGAAGCACAAUCGUACACAACAGCCCUCUCCUCAUCAUGUUUCACGAACAACCUUGACCUGCACUGGAUUUUCAAGGGCUGGCUACACAAAAUUCCCAGGUUUACCAGCAGAAAGAGAAGAAAAAAAAAAAAAAAGUUGAUCAGAAGAUCUCAGUUGGGUACACGUCACAACUGGUUUUUCCUCUCUCCUGUUCAGCAUGGCAGACUGACAGGCUGCAAAAUAGGUCCAGCUGGAAAGAAGAUAAUUUUGUUCUGCUUUGCCCAGCCUCAUUUUUCAGCGCUGAAUGUCCAGUUGUGUACCUGUAUGAAACCUCUGAGGCCCUGGAGGCUCCACACAACGAUGAUUUAUUCAUUUUUAAUAGGCAAACUUUUGUCCAUAUUACAUUUCUCCGUGCCUUUUAGUCACUAUCCCAGACUAAAGCAACCAAGGGGAGAUUUAAAACAACCGAACUCUCCCCUCACACUUAGAUUCUGCCCAAAGCACCGGAGCAGCUGGAGCGUUUACAAAGUCUCCGCACCAGCAGGUUUGCUCUUCGCUCCGCGAGCGCUCUUCCCUUGUUGCACUGCCAUGCAGCAGGGCUGCUCCGCAGCAGGUCUCAGGGGGGCUGUGAUCAAAACGCACAGGCUGAGCAGUGUGGUUUUGCAGCUCUCUUCAGACAGCCUUGUGCUUUUUACUCCCACCCAACUCUAAAGUGGAAUUGCCUAUGAGGAAAUUGUGUAUUUCAUAAGAAAGGAAUGUUUUUCAUCCUUUCCCCGCAAUUCUGUGGCCAAGCCUCACUUAUAGUCCGUUAGACUUUGCACCCCCAUGACCUGAAUGCUCAUUUCUAAAGGAUUCCUGUUGUCCAGUUUCCCUUGGAUCCUGUGCUCGGCUAGCUGGCUGACUUCCUGCACCUUGGCUUCUUGGAGAGCACGUCAGGUAGCUCUGCAGGCCCUCCGGUGUAGAAGCAGAGGAUGCGCAAAUACCCUUUGUUCAGUGUCCUGUUACCACAGGCAGCUCCCCAUGGGCAGGAUCCUGGGGCAGACCAGGUCAGGGCAGGGUGAGCUUGGAACAGGCUUAUGAGAUCCCUCACUCGUGCUAUGGGCUCUGUGGCGGUGCAGGAAAACGAGCGGGACACGUGCCUGGCUGCGUGGGCACCCACGCCUCUGCGGCCCAGAGUCCUUCUGCACGCACCACUUCACAAGCCAGGGUGGUGCAUGAGGAGAAACCCUGCUCCUCUUUCACCUUCGACAUUUCCACACAGUACGAAAAACUCUUGGCCUUUCGCCAGAAGUUAGGAUUUUAUGACUUUUUUCUAUUUUUCCUUUUUUCUUUUUUUUUUUUUUCCCCCACACAGACUAAACAUUCACAUGUCUUAUCCUGUCCGAGCAGUUGUUUCAAUAGCUGUCCUGCCAACGGAGACACUUGGGUUUAAGUGGCUGAUCCUCUGCAACCAUGACUAUUUUUAAUGAAAGAUUAUGUCUCCGUAAGGCCAAAAUGUUUGUUAUCCAGCUUUGGCUUCUGAAAGAAACCCUGCAAAUGUUUCUGAAUCAGAUGUGUGUGAAAUGCUGUGCAAUUUCUCUAAUACCGAGGUGGAAAAUCUGUCCUUUCCCUAUUAAUAGACUAAAAAUCAAAACAGAGGUGGGGGGUUAAAGCCAAAUGGUUUCAUACACUAUGAAUUCAUCAGAGUUUCACAUUCCCAGCAAGGGGAAUAUUUGAAAGCAGAAGAAAUGAAUAGGAAUAAAUAAAAAAAAUGAAACCAAAUAAAUAUAUCU
Molecule: RNA transcript, 21652 nt
Organism: Cygnus olor (mute swan)
Lineage: Eukaryota; Metazoa; Chordata; Aves; Anseriformes; Anatidae
Exons: 3
Source: RefSeq, a predicted model, not a curated record